UCUACUCUUUUCCACUCCCACACAACCUUUUUCCUCCAGUUUUCCUUUUUUUCACUUUCUAACACCUUAAUACCUAAUGAACACACAGUGUCCCAUUAGGUAUUAAGGUGUUAGAAAGUGAAAAAAAGGAAAACUGGAGGAAAAAGGUUGUGUGGGAGUGGAAAAGAGUAGA
Molecule: non-coding RNA, 172 nt
Organism: Pelobates cultripes (western spadefoot toad)
Lineage: Eukaryota; Metazoa; Chordata; Amphibia; Anura; Pelobatidae
Source: the annotation of a GenBank genome assembly